Molecule: ribosomal RNA, 425 nt
Filed under: uncultured bacterium
Lineage: Bacteria
Description: bacterial SSU rRNA
Rfam family: Bacterial small subunit ribosomal RNA
Source: RNAcentral
GUGGGGAAUUUUGCGCAAUGGGGGAAACCCUGACGCAGCGACGCCGCGUGAAGGACGAAGGCCUUCGGGUUGUAAACUUCUUUUAUAGGGGAAGAUAGUGACGGUACCCUAUGAAUAAGCCACGGCUAACUCUGUGCCAGCAGCCGCGGUAAGACAGAGGUGGCAAGCGUUGUUCGGAAUUACUGGGCUUAAAGGGCGCGUAGGCGGUGGGAUAAGUCUGUGGUGGAAUCUUGCGGCUCAACCGCAAAAUUGCCAUGGAAACUAUUUCACUUGAGUCAGCGAGGGGAUGGCGGAAUUCCUGGUGUAGCAGUGAAAUGCGUAGAUAUCAGGAGGAAGGCCGGUGGCGAAGGCGGCCAUCUGGCGCUUGACUGACGCUGAGGCGCGAAAGCGUGGGGAGCAAACAGGAUUAGAAACCCGAGUAGUCC